Long non-coding RNA from Chinchilla lanigera (long-tailed chinchilla), 2279 nucleotides. RefSeq lists it as uncharacterized. The record is from RefSeq and is a predicted model, not a curated record. The transcript has 4 exons. NCBI's taxonomy places the organism in Eukaryota, Metazoa, Chordata, Mammalia, Rodentia, Chinchillidae.
UCCCUGUGGGUCGCGGCGCCGGCGCUGCGUGGAGGCGCGCGGGUUACGUGACGCCCGGAGUUGGAGAGAAGACCAGAACCACCUGCUGAAGACCGGAGCUACGGGGGCCGGGCAGGGUCCAAACGGCUCACGUAGGCGGAGGCGCCGCGGGCCUCGGGGUCACGGGGAGAGAAGGGCCUCUCCCGGAGCGAGUGGAAGGAGGGAGGCCCGGCGGGAAAUUGGGGCGCCAAGGCCACGCCCCGCCGCUCGCGGGGGUCACCUGCGUCGCGGAGAGCUCUGGCGUGGAGAACGUUGUGAGAUAGGGCGGCCGGGCUGCCCGCAACUCGAGGGCGACCUCCCGUUCGUGAAGUCGGGACGGUGCUGCGCCGGAUCUCCUAGGGAGAGUAACUGCUCGGUUCUCCGUAGUCAGGCGGCGGUGUCCCGCGGUCCACCUACUCUGUCCGUGGCUCUAGUUCAUUUGACAAGCUGAGCGAAGUGACGAACUCAGACCCUUCGGGCACAUGGCAAUUGAUGCCCGAGCUGGAACCCCGCUGUACUGUCUUCCAGUUCUGGCUACACUUCGUGGCACCGUGUCCAUAAACCACUCUGACCCAGCCCACCUUGAACACUCCCCAUAGGUGAGAUGCUGCGGCCUUACAGACGGGAGUUGACUUUCUCGGUGCUCUCAGAGUAAGGAAUAAAACAAAGGUAAAACAGUUUUAUAGUAAAAGACCGUGAUAGGUGCCACGCAGAAGUACAGAGUUCUGCAGAGAGCGUCAAAGCGUCUAGCUCUGUCACAGGGAUCGGGAAAGGAAGGCGGCACGCAGAAGGCAAGGGGAUUGACCCUGAAGGAAGUGGGGAGGGUUUUACAGCAACAGCAUGAAGAUGUACUUGAAGGCCGGAGAAAGCUGUGUUCCAGGAAGAGCACAAGCUCUAGGGUAUGCAGCGCAGACAAAGGAGAAUGGUCCGCACGCGGCAAGUUGGUGAAUUGGUGUUUGAUUCAGUAUUUUGAGUUUUCAAGGUCUAAAAAUUUGAGGGAAGCAAAAGCUUUUUCUUUGUGACUACCGAAUUUAAAAGGAUGUGGUUGAGAGGUGAUCUGCAGGAAGGAUCUACAGAAUUUGUCAACUACUGUAACUGAUUAAUUGGGGGUAGCAAGAGAACAAUAAUAGAGGCUUUGAGUUUGUGGACAAUUAUAAGGAGUAGAAAAAGGAGGGCAGUUCUAAGAGAAAGGAGAAGGAGCACCUUUUUGAGAAGAUGAUCACUAUAGAUUUGGACAUUUUAAGGGUUUGAAGGGUUUUCAAAGUAGACACGUAGAUGUGGACCCUGAGAAAUCAGAAAUUAAGGUUUUGAAGUUUAGGAACAGAGGACUGAGCAAAAAAAUCGAUGGGAAAGUAUCAGCCCCACAGUGAUAUUGUGACAGAAGACGGCAGAAUCUUGGAAAAUUCCUUCUUUUGAGUUUUGCUGAAGUGUGACCAUUGGUCCAGCAGAGUGGGCAGCACUAGAAGGUUUGUUAGAAAUGCUGAUCUCAGGCCCCAUCCCGGGCCUGGUGAUUCUACGUUGUUAUGGUUUAUGUCCAGAUGUCCCCCCAAAGCCUGGGGCUUUUUGGAGGUGGCUGGAUCCAGGAUGUAGUGAUGCUGGGACUAUGAGUGUCUGAUAUCUGGAUUAGUCUGCUGAUUGGAGUCACAUAGUUCUGGGGGUGGCUGAAUGGGUUUACUGAAGACAGAAGAGCCACCCAGGGUGUAAGUGGCACCAACCAAUAGGGCUAUAGCUUGGAUGGAAUGAAAGAAGGAAGGCUGCUACUUGCUCCUUCUUACCUUGCAUGCCCUGGACAGUUUCUCCUCUGCCGCGUCCCUCUGCCAUGCGGUUGUGCCUUGGAGCCAGCUGACUACGGACUGAGACCUUUACAAACUGUGAGCUAAAAUAAACCUUGCUGGACCCCCAACGAGGCACCUGUGCUUUGAUUAUGCAGAUGAGUGCAGAGCCACUAGGAAGAAGGUACCUGGAGAAAGGACAGCAGGCACAGGGAACAUUCGAUUAUAAAAAGAUCAAAGACCAGAGUCAAUUUGACCACCCAACUCCUCUGGACCUAGAACUGCAAAUCAGCCUGAGACAAUGGACCUGGCAGGAUGUCUUCACCUAUAGACUUCAUCUUGGCACACAAAAUUUCAGCUCUGCUGAAACAUGCGGCAUGUGACUCUCCCUCUCACCUAGUCACUAGGUUUCCUAGACACUUGAAUGGAAUCGGCAGUCAUUGAUGCAACCCCAACGCCAAGACUAGAACGUCGCAGUGAUAGUUCCGA